ACACAUGCAAGUCGAGCGAGAACAGGGCUUGCCCGUGGGGACAGCGGCGAACGGGUGCGUAACACGGUGAGCAACUGCCCCAAAGACCGGGACAACCCGAGGAAACUCGGACUAAUACCGGAUGCCCUCACCGGGUCGCAUGGUCUGGUGAGGAAAUGGAUUCCGCUUUGGGAUGGGCUCGCGGUCUAUCAGCUUGUUGGUGGGGUAACGGCCUACCAAGGCGACGACGGAUAGCUGGUCUGAGAGGACGAUCAGCCACACUGGGACUGAGACACGGCCCAGACUCCUACGGGAGGCAGCAGUGGGGAAUCUUGCGCAAUGGGGGAAACCCUGACGCAGCGACGCCGCGUGCGGGAUGAAGGCCUUCGGGUUGUAAACCGUUUUCAGCAGGGACGAAAUUGACGGUACCUGCAGAAGAAGCCCCGGUUAACUCUGUGCCAGCAGCCGGGUAAUACAGGGGGGGCAAAGCGUUGUUCGGAAUUACUGGGCGUAAAGGGCUUGUAGGUGGGCCAAAUUAAGUCCAAGACGUUGAAAUCCCUCAGUUUAACUUGGGGGGAAACUUGGGGUCUGGAUAACUGGAUUGGUUGAAGUUUGGGGAAAAGGGAAUUGCGGAAAUUCCCAGGUGGUAACCGGGUGAAAAU
RNAcentral lists this ribosomal RNA (641 nucleotides) under uncultured bacterium. RNAcentral describes it as "bacterial SSU rRNA". It matches the Rfam family "Bacterial small subunit ribosomal RNA", at positions 51 to 720 of the family's 1533-position model. The record is from RNAcentral.